Molecule: microRNA, 22 nt
Filed under: Solanum lycopersicum (tomato)
Lineage: Eukaryota; Viridiplantae; Streptophyta; Magnoliopsida; Solanales; Solanaceae
Description: sly-miR5300
Source: miRBase by way of RNAcentral
UCCCCAGUCCAGGCAUUCCAAC